Molecule: non-coding RNA, 785 nt
Organism: Macaca mulatta (Rhesus monkey)
Lineage: Eukaryota; Metazoa; Chordata; Mammalia; Primates; Cercopithecidae
Source: RefSeq, a predicted model, not a curated record
AGAUACUGACUGCAUUCCUUGGCUUGUGGUCCCCUUCUGUCUUCACAUCCAGCAAUGACAUAUGGAGUCCAUCACAUUGCAUGACUCUGACGUUUCUUCAAUGAUUGUACCAGACAGAAGCUGCUUGCCCUAAAACACGGGCUGAGGGUUUACCGGAUGGUUUUCUUAUGGGUGCUGUAGACAGAUCCAUGGUUGCAGAGAAAUCAAUGGGAAAAAACAAAGGAAUUUUUUUAAAAAAGGAAUGGAAAUUGAAUGUGCUUUCAAAUUCCUGCUGUUGGACCAUAUUUUUAAAACAAGAUUCUCUAUAAUCUUGUUAGACAUUAAACCACCAAAGAAGAUUGACUUCAAAGUUUAUUUUCUGUUCCCAGAUAAUGAAGCCAUUUUUUUCCAAAGAAAAAAAAAAAAUAAUGAAAGUAAGAGACACUCCCCUUUGCAUGAUUCUGCAGAAGCUGAAUUUGUUACUAACUGCAACCUCUAGGUACUUUGCAGCUAACUAAGCCAAGAAUGUGUGCACAGUCAGUUCAGUGGCUUGACCCUGAAAAACAAAGUUCUUCAGUUAGAUCCUAAUGAGAAGAAAAUCCAUAGAGAGAGAAAAAAAGAAAGAAGAUCAUAAAGAGACAUGACUGCACUUUCAAUCAAUUAGGAGAAAAACCUGAUAUUUUGUGUCACCCUUGGUAUAAAAUAUGAUUAUAUCUGCUGCUUCAGACAAGCUAGCAAUUCUCAUCCCUGACUGGUACCUAAAUGCAAAUUAAAGCUGCCUUCCUUGGAAGGUAUUAAUACUGGCA